CCCAGAAGUAGGGGAUAACACCUGGAAACAGAUGCUAAUACCGUAUAACAGAGAAAACCGCAUGGUUUUCUUUUAAAAGAUGGCUCUGCUAUCACUUCUGGAUGGACCCGCGGCGUAUUAGCUAGUUGGUGAGGUAAAGGCUCACCAAGGCAGUGAUACGUAGCCGACCUGAGAGGGUAAUCGGCCACAUUGGGACUGAGACACGGCCCAGACUCCUACGGGAGGCAGCAGUAGGGAAUCUUCCACAAUGGACGAAAGUCUGAUGGAGCAACGCCGCGUGAGUGAAGAAGGGUUUCGGCUCGUAAAGCUCUGUUGUUAAAGAAGAACGUGGGUAAGAGUAACUGUUUACCCAGUGACGGUAUUUAACCAGAAAGCCACGGCUAACUACGUGCCAGCAGCCGCGGUAAUACGUAGGUGGCAAGCGUUAUCCGGAUUUAUUGGGCGUAAAGCGAGCGCAGGCGGUCUUUUAAGUCUAAUGUGAAAGCCUUCGGCUCAACCGAAGAAGUGCAUUGGAAACUGGGAGACUUGAGUGCAGAAGAGGACAGUGGAACUCCAUGUGUAGCGGUGAAAUGCGUAGAUAUAUGGAAGAACACCAGUGGCGAAGGCGGCUGUCUGGUCUGCAACUGACGCUGAGGCUCGAA
Molecule: ribosomal RNA, 641 nt
Filed under: Pediococcus pentosaceus
Lineage: Bacteria; Bacillati; Bacillota; Bacilli; Lactobacillales; Lactobacillaceae
Description: bacterial SSU rRNA
Rfam family: Bacterial small subunit ribosomal RNA
Source: RNAcentral